UAGCCGUAAACGAUACUCGCUAGGUGUCGGCCACGGUGCGACCGUUGUCGGUGCCGUAGGGAAGCCGUGAAGCGAGCCACCUGGGAAGUACGGCCGCAAGGCUGAAACUUAAAGGAAUUGGCGGGGGGAGCACCACAACGGGUGGAGCCUGCGGUUUAAUUGGACUCAACGCCGGGAAGCUUACCGGAUAAGACAGCGGAAUGAUUGCCGGGCUGAAGACCCUGCAUGACCAGCUGAGAGGAGGUGCAUGGCGUAGACGUCU
Molecule: ribosomal RNA, 262 nt
Filed under: uncultured archaeon
Lineage: Archaea
Description: partial 16S ribosomal RNA
Rfam family: Archaeal small subunit ribosomal RNA
Source: RNAcentral